This 72-nucleotide transfer RNA is filed under the name Camelus bactrianus (Bactrian camel). It matches the Rfam family "tRNA". Rfam says of the family: Transfer RNA (tRNA) molecules are approximately 80 nucleotides in length. Their secondary structure includes four short double-helical elements and three loops (D, anti-codon, and T loops). Further hydrogen bonds mediate the characteristic L-shaped molecular structure. tRNAs have two regions of fundamental functional importance: the anti-codon, which is responsible for specific mRNA codon recognition, and the 3' end, to which the tRNAs corresponding amino acid is attached (by aminoacyl-tRNA synthetases). tRNAs cope with the degeneracy of the genetic code in two manners: having more than one tRNA (with a specific anti-codon) for a particular amino acid; and 'wobble' base-pairing, i.e. permitting non-standard base-pairing at the 3rd anti-codon position. The record is from Rfam by way of RNAcentral. Lineage: Eukaryota; Metazoa; Chordata; Mammalia; Artiodactyla; Camelidae. RNAcentral also lists the same sequence under 2 other names.
GAGGGUGCAGCUCAGUGGUAGAGCGCGUGCUUAGCAGGCACGAGGUCCUGGGUUCAACUGCCAGUACCUCCG